This 63-nucleotide transfer RNA is filed under the name Cavia porcellus (domestic guinea pig). It matches the Rfam family "tRNA", at positions 1 to 62 of the family's 71-position model. From Rfam's summary of the family: Transfer RNA (tRNA) molecules are approximately 80 nucleotides in length. The record is from Rfam by way of RNAcentral. Lineage: Eukaryota; Metazoa; Chordata; Mammalia; Rodentia; Caviidae.
GGGGAUGGAGCUCAGUGGUAGAGCACUUGCCUAGCAUGCAGGAGGCCCUGAGUUGAAUCCCCU